This is a long non-coding RNA of Esox lucius (northern pike), 4265 nucleotides long. The record is from Ensembl. Lineage: Eukaryota; Metazoa; Chordata; Actinopteri; Esociformes; Esocidae.
AUUUUCCUAACUCCUGUCUGCAUCUUCCAUCUCCAGAUAACUUUUAUCUUUGAUCCUUGUGCUAUAAUUGCAAUACUCUCUUUAUAUAUUCACUUAAUUGGUUACAUUCAUUAAUUUAUUAUUUGGGAUUAAUCUUAAAGGGGUCAAAAUCCAGUUCCUUCAGAUUCAAGACAAUAUGUUUUCCCAGAGAACUGUGGGCGUUCACAAACAAGCACAUACACUCAAAUGGAUGCCUCAGCCUGCCAUCUGAGGUAAAUUAGUGCAGAUUGUUGGCCUCACCAAUACUCCUAAAAAGUUGGAAAACUAACUAAAAGCUAGUUUCAGAGUCCUCUUCAUAACAGUGUCUAGGGAGCUCAAAGACUUAAAGCCUGUCAGAGAAGAUGCUAAGUAGCAAGAGCAACAGCUUUCAUCUCUGUGUUUACUGGCGAGAGCUUUUCUUACAUGAAUACUCAUUCUAUUGGGUUUGUACAGCAGGCCAGCAGGUGGAGUCAUAAACUAUUAUGAGCAAAACUCUUAUUCCAAUGUACAAAUACACUGCACACAAUCAUUGUGUCAUUCUUUGAGCAUUCUGGCAUUUUCACUUAGAUUUUCCAUUUUUAUCGUGUGCGUUAAGAACAUGUGGUGUUGAUGCUACAGCACAAUUAGGACUUUCUUUGGUGUGUUCACCAUCUCUAGACAAUAUCAACUCGUGUCAGCAUUAUACAUUUUUCCAGGGGAGUAACAUCAACAGAAGAAGUGAAGGAAUGAAGAAUACAGGUAUGACUGCCAUGGGCUCUUCAUAAGGUUGGGUAAGGAUAGAAUUGGUUUGAUGAUUCGGUUAAUAAUUCUGGUUGAUUACAGGAACACUACACUGACAUCACUAGGGAAGACACUCAGCAUCUGUGGAUGUCGAUGGGUUGUAGACUUCAGGCAGUCAUUGCAUGCUAAGGAUUUGCAACCAAGUAUUAAAUGCUACAAAUUAAUUUAAGACGAUUUUAAUGUGUUUAAUUCCUUCUAGACCCCUAGAUUGGGAGAGACUGUAAUUCCUACAUGUGAAUACCAUCAAAUUAAACCUGACAGUCUGUACUUUAACAUUUCAGUCAUUGUUUCAUUUAAAACCCAUUGUCCUGGAGUACAGAGUCAAGGCAAAACCUCUGUCACUGUCCAAUUACUUAUGAACUGCUCUGUAUCUGCUGUAAUAGUGGAAUGAUCGUGUUUGACAUCAUUUACUUAUCAGGCAUUUUUAGGGUUGUUUUGUUAGGGGUAAAAGUUUACCAUCUAGGGUGUUACUGAGGGGACAGGCAGUAGAAUUAGUGCAGGAGAAUAUAACCUCCCUGAUUCCGAAUUGUUUGUGAAUAUACGUGAUCAUAAGUGACCAUACAGUAAUAUGCCGGUAUUUCUUAGUAAAGGUAGCUACUCUUUCGUCAGGAGACUAGCAUUAAAAGGUCAUGUGUUUCACGGUCUAUGCACAUCUUCUUUGCUUCUCUUCAGUCAAGUAGACAUGUGUAGACAUGUACAGUAGACACAUAGAAACAGUCGUCUCUUGCCAUUGCUUACCAUCAUUUUUUCCCCAAACUAAUGGCCAUUUUCCACUGCAUGGUACCGGCUCAACUACACCCCUGUAGCCUCGACUUUCAUCACUUUAAGGGCGAAAGUAUUUUUAAUGUUUUUCAACACUGUCGUGUCUGUAGAUAGCACUGUAGUGAUUGUGAAUUGCAUGUAAGGCAAGACAAUCGCCAUUUUGCAAGAUAGGAAUCCCACGUUCUAGUAAUGUAAAAACUGGAUCAUUUUAGUGACUUGGUUCUUUAAGUCUCUUUUUUAGGGUGUGUAGGCUAUCAGCUAUAUGCUCUGAAUUGGACAAUAGAACAUGUGGUUUAUGACAUUGUUUUACUACAAUUUGAUGAACUCCCGAAACUCAAAGCUAUGGUGAGUUCUGUUCUGCGCUAUUAUAAAUAACUAAGUGUUGUUAGGUUACUGAUUAAGAACGUAAUGACUGUUUUGUAAUAAACAAUGACAAUAUUCUAUUACAACAUUCAAAUUAUUUAGUUAAAGUCACUGGUAGCUGAACACAAGUUCUAAACCAUUGGCUGGAAAACAAAUUAUAGAAACCAAGCUUGAAAAAAACAGCGUUGGCCUUUCUUCGUGUGUCCUUAAGUUUCGUUGCUUACUAUUUUUAGUUUCUUUGUUUAUCCUCAAGUUCAGAUGAUUUGUGUUUCUUUGCAUAUCAACAUUUGAACAGGGUAAAAGCUUACAAAACCUUCCAGCGUGGGCCCCUACCACCCCACAACACCCUGUGGAUUGCAGCCCUGGAGGAUGGAGCAAGCACAGUACUCCAAGGCACCAGAGUGGUACUCCACGCCACAAUGUGGAGGACUGCUACAUAGGUAAGUGUGGGUUAAUUCACUUAAACCAGAUGCUUAACUUUUUAUUAAAGCAUGUUGCUUCUAAUUUUAUUUGUCAAUUUCAUUUUAAUUUUAAGGGAAAUUAGACUUGGGGCAUGUUUUAGCUCUGCACAUGAAGGUAAGAAUGAAUAUUUUGGCAGACACUGAGAUUUGAGUUCGGAUUGGAAAAUAACCAAAUAUUUAGGACUGAAUAAUUACUGUCUGCAUUUACAUUCAGAACAUUUGGAGAAGAUCAGGCAGCUGACUGAAGAGAAGGUUGAGCUGACGGCACAGCUGGCUCUACAAUCAGUUAAAAACAAAACUAUUGUUACGCUAGCAUCUUGUUUUAAUGAAACUGCAUUUGUCUGAACGUGUGCCCUUUACUAAAAUGCUUUGAAGUACAGCCUUUCUGAAAUUACAUGUAUCAGGCAGUUUUGUUUAUUUCAAUAUUAAGCUAUUGACAUUUCUUGUGCUUUUAAGCUUCUGAUAAACGUCUGACUGAAGAGAAUGUCAAGCUGAGGGCCCAGCUGGCUCAACAAUCAGGAGCCAUAAGGAAGAAUCCUUCCUACCGGGAAUCAUGCCAUCGAUGAAGCUGUCCAGAACCAGGUCCCCAGGUACCAGAAAGGGGCAGCUGACCGUGUAAGUGGGAGAAGAUGUCGCGGUGGUACAAGGGACCUGCCGUGAAUAUGAAUGACAUCUCCAGCACAACCAAUAUUGCUGCUAAUAUUUCACUUAGGGGUGUACUCACGUUUUCUUGUAGAAUUGUUUUUGUUUUAUUUAUUUCAAUGCAUGUUUUUUGUAUGCAUCUUGCACUAUUUGAAAUUAAUUUAUAUUUUAUUCAGUUCAUUGUCAUUUGUGAUAUGACCAAAAUUAUUGUAAAUUAUUAUGAAUAAAACCUAAUAUUGGGGCGUCCAGCACCAUCCAAAGCUACACACUUGGUCUUGCAGAAUGCUUCAUCCAGAAAACAUUUACCUGUAACAUCACACCUGGUUCAUCUUUGCGGUUGGGGCUAACUUGGCCCCCACCUUGUAUGUCCGCUCCUUUCAGGAGAAGUAAAUAGGCCCAAUGGUGUGAGAUUUGGAUGUCCCACUGUGUUGAGACUCCAGACAACAUGGCACCUUCACAAACCUUCCAAAACACAUCUUUCAUUACACUACAGAUGCAUACAACAGGGCAUCCUAAACUUUGUAAUUUGGUCAACAGAGUACAUUAGUGAGAAAAGUUAGUUUGAAUGAACUGUUUGUUGCUUUAAUUCAGCUUACUCCAACAAAAUGGUAGCAAAUUAGGGAUAUCUCUUUUAAAGUGUCUAAAAUCAAUUUGGAGAAAGAAUCACUAGCGUAACUGCCUGUUCAUUGUCUGCUUCCACAUCACUCAUGCAAACUCAAACACCCUACUCUAUUUAAAUGUAGUAUUGCUAACCAAGUUACAUAUCCUGGGAAAUGUCUACUAGUGACCUUCUUAUGCUUUCACUAACACAAAGUCAGAAAUAUGGCCCUUUGUAGUUCUAGCUUGUCUUCUUCAAAUAAAAUGUUAAACCCAAUGGAGUCUCAUGUAGCUCAGAUGGUAAGGGAUUUGCACAUGCAACGCCAGGGUUGUAGGGUCAUUUCCCACAGGGGGUAAGAAUAAAAAAUAUGACAAUUUACAAUUAGGACCUGCUAAAUACCUUAUUUAAAUGUCUACACCUAAGCACACUGCUAACCCUAAUUUUAUGUAAAGUUAGUGACUUGUUUGAGUUUCUACAAUAUCCCCAAUGACUUCAUGUAAAACAGAAAGUAUCCCACUUUCUCUUUCUCACUCUGCAUAGCCACUGCUUUUACUGUUCCGUCAUGAAAAUGACAAAAUAUUUAAUUAAAAUGUUAUUCUCUUCACUUGCCACUGUUCUGUCAAAGAAAAUGUUGCGUAAGG